GUGGGGAAUAUUGCGCAAUUGGGGGCAAGCCUGACGCAGCCAUGCCGCGUGAAUGAAGAAGGCCUUCGGGUUGUAAAGUACUUUCGGUAUUGAGGAAGGUUGAUGUGUUAAUAACCUUUCCAAUUGACGUUACAUACAGAAGAAGCACCGGCUAACUCCGUGCCAGCAGCCGCGGUAAUACGGAGGGUGCGAGCGUUAAUCGGAAUUACUGGGCGUAAAGGGCACGCAGGCGGUUAUUUAAGUGAGGUGUGAAAGCCCUGGNCUUAACCUGGGAAUUGCAUUUCAAACUGGGUAACUUGAGUACUGUAGGGAGGGGUAGAAUUCCACGUGUAGCGGUGAAAUGCGUAGAGAUGUGGAGGAAUACCGAAGGCGAAGGCGGCCCCUUGGAAAUGUACUGACGCUCAUGUGCGAAAGCGUGGGGAGCAAACAGGAUUAGAUACCCUGGUAGUCCCACGCUGUAAACGCUGUCGAUUUGGAGGUUGGGGUUUAANUCAGUGCCCUCGUAGCUAACGUGAUAAAUCUCACCGCCUGGGGAGUACNGCCGCGCANGGUA
This 553-nucleotide ribosomal RNA is filed under the name uncultured bacterium. Its description in RNAcentral is "bacterial SSU rRNA". It matches the Rfam family "Bacterial small subunit ribosomal RNA", at positions 354 to 895 of the family's 1533-position model. The record is from RNAcentral.